GCAGACCUCCUUUUGAUUGCGCCCCUCUUUUCGCAUUCUAACUCUGUUCACGUGGUAUUUACCAAAAAAGUCGUCGGUGGGGUCGGCGAAGAUUCGAGACGAAGGUGAGAGCGG
This is a non-coding RNA of Caenorhabditis elegans, 114 nucleotides long. The record is from Ensembl. Lineage: Eukaryota; Metazoa; Nematoda; Chromadorea; Rhabditida; Rhabditidae.